UAAUUCAUGUGGUGAAAUUUGAUCAUGAAGUGGUGUCGGUUACCAAUCAUAGUUAAUAUUGUAAUUUUUGUUUGAUUUUCGUUUAAAAGUUGCAUGUGAGGUUUACAGACACGAGCAACAUAAGUGGAUGAAAUGAUAUAUUUUAUCAUGUAUCAGAAUAUCAUGUCCAAAUUUUGGAACGAAAUUUUGUUAGAAAUUUGAUUCUGGUUAAAAUUGUACAUAACACUCACAAACAUGAACAACAUAAGCAGAUGAAAUGAUAUAUUUUAUAAUCGGUCGGAACAUUAUGUGCAAUCUUGGAGCUUAACGUUGUCAAAAAUUUCAUUUUGAUUAAAAUCAGUGACUGAUCUGCUUAGAAAAAUUGAUAUUCUUGCGCAGUUACAAAUUAUUGGUUGACAACGUAAGGGAGUGUAUCAUUCUUAAGACAUCCAUUUGACCAAAAGACGACGUGUGCUAUGACACCAAUAUUCAAUUUCGACAUGUGGUUGACAUGGGUUAGUACUUACCACGCCUUGCCGCCAACUUACUUUUGUUUUUGUGAAGGAAAAAGAAAAUAGAAAAAUAGAGUGCAGGAUGAUGGGGUGGUAGAAGGCAUUGUUGUUCGGUGGGCAACAAGAUCUGGACCCUUUGAUUCGUUGACUUAAACUAUAUUCUCACGGUCUUGCUGUUGCUCCUCCUUUGGAUAUUAAAUAUUUAACUACUAAUACUUUAUUUUUGGUGAGUCUGCAUGA
RNAcentral lists this long non-coding RNA (731 nucleotides) under Malus domestica (apple). RNAcentral's name for it is "long non-coding RNA (MDOM_LNC002423)". The record is from RNAcentral. Lineage: Eukaryota; Viridiplantae; Streptophyta; Magnoliopsida; Rosales; Rosaceae.